Molecule: ribosomal RNA, 111 nt
Filed under: Vibrio mediterranei
Lineage: Bacteria; Pseudomonadati; Pseudomonadota; Gammaproteobacteria; Vibrionales; Vibrionaceae
Also listed under: 8 other names
Source: RNAcentral
UGGCGACCAUAGCGUUGUGGACCCACCUGAUUCCAUGCCGAACUCAGAAGUGAAACGCAAUAGCGCCGAUGGUAGUGUGGGGCUUCCCCAUGUGAGAGUAGGACAUCGCCA